This 254-nucleotide ribosomal RNA is filed under the name Staphylococcus aureus. RNAcentral describes it as "partial 23S ribosomal RNA". It matches the Rfam family "Bacterial large subunit ribosomal RNA", at positions 2669 to 2925 of the family's 2925-position model. The record is from RNAcentral. Lineage: Bacteria; Bacillati; Bacillota; Bacilli; Caryophanales; Staphylococcaceae.
GAGCUGUCCUUAGUACGAGAGGACCGGGAUGGACAUACCUCUGGUGUACCAGUUGUCGUGCCAACGGCAUAGCUGGGUAGCUAUGUGUGGACGGGAUAAGUGCUGAAAGCAUCUAAGCAUGAAGCCCCCCUCAAGAUGAGAUUUCCCAACUUCGGUUAUAAGAUCCCUCAAAGAUGAUGAGGUUAAUAGGUUCGAGGUGGAAGCAUGGUGACAUGUGGAGCUGACGAAUACUAAUCGAUCGAAGACUUAAUCAA